This 426-nucleotide ribosomal RNA is filed under the name uncultured bacterium. Its description in RNAcentral is "bacterial SSU rRNA". It matches the Rfam family "Bacterial small subunit ribosomal RNA", at positions 359 to 775 of the family's 1533-position model. The record is from RNAcentral.
GAAUCUUGCGCAAUGGCCGAAAGGCUGACGCAGCGACGCCGCGUGCGGGAGGACGCUUUUCGGAGUGUAAACCGCUGUCGGGUGGGACGAAGGUCCCGGGGAGGCAAUGCCCUGGGGAUGACGGUACCACCAGAGGAAGCACCGGCUAACUUCGUGCCAGCAGCCGCGGUAAUACGAAGGGUGCGAGCGUUGUUCGGAAUUAUUGGGCGUAAAGCGCACGUAGGCGGAUGGGUAAGUCUGUCUGUGAAAGCCCGGGGCUCAACCCCGUGGACUGCAGGGGAUACUGCCUGGCUGGAGACAAGCAGAGGUUGGUAGAAUUCCGGGUGUAGCGGUGGAAUGCGUAGAGAUCCGGAGGAAUACCAGAGGCGAAGGCGGCCAACUGGGCUUGAUCUGACGCUGAGGUGCGAAAGCGUGGGGAGCGAACAG